Molecule: ribosomal RNA, 446 nt
Filed under: uncultured bacterium
Lineage: Bacteria
Description: bacterial SSU rRNA
Rfam family: Bacterial small subunit ribosomal RNA
Source: RNAcentral
CCCAGACUCCUACGGGAGGCAGCAGUGGGGAAUAUUGCACAAUGGGGGGAACCCUGAUGCAGCGACGCCGCGUGGGUGAAGGAGCGUUUCGGCGCGUAAAGCCCUAUCGGCAGGGAAGAAGGAGGACGGCACCUGACUAAGAAGACCCGGCUAACUACGAGCCAGCAGCCGCGGUAAUACGUAGGGGGCAAGAGUUAUCCGGAUUUACUGGGUGUAAAGGGGGCGCAGACGGCAGCGCAAGCCAGGAGUGAAAGCCCGGGGCCCAACCCCGGGACUGCUCUUGGAACUGCGCGGCUGGAGUGCAGGAGGGGCAGGCGGAAUUCCUGGUGUAGCGGUGAAAUGCGUAGAUAUCAGGAGGAACACCGGUGGCGAAGGCGGCCUGCUGGACUGCGACUGACGUUGAGGCCCGAAAGCGUGGGGAGCAAACAGGAUUAGAUACCCCGGUA